GACGAACCGUGCGAACGUUGUUCGGAAUCACUGGGCUUAAAGGGUGCGUAGGCGGGCGAGUAAGUCAGGGGUGAAAUCCCACGGCCCAACCGUGGAAGUGCCUCUGAUACUGCGAGUCUAGAGGGAAAUAGGGGCGUGCGGAACUUCCGGUGGAGCGGUGAAAUGCGUAGAUAUCGGAAGGAACACCGGUGGCGAAAGCGGCGCGCUGGAUUUCUACUGACGCUGAGGCACGAAAGCCAGGGGAGCAAACGGG
RNAcentral lists this ribosomal RNA (253 nucleotides) under uncultured bacterium. RNAcentral describes it as "partial 16S ribosomal RNA". It matches the Rfam family "Bacterial small subunit ribosomal RNA", at positions 524 to 776 of the family's 1533-position model. The record is from RNAcentral.